CCUACGGGAGGCAGCAGUGGGGAAUAUUGCACAAUGGGGGCAACCCUGAUGCAGCGACGCCGCGUGAAUGAAGAAGUCCUUCGUUAUGUAAAGCUCUAUCAGCAGGGAAGAAAAUGACGGUACCUGAGUAAGAAUCCCCGGCUAACUACGUGCCAGCAGCCGCGGUAAUACGGAGGAGGCAAGCGUUAUCCGGAUUUACUGGGUGUAAAGGGAGCGUAGACGGCAGUGCAAGUCUGGAGUGAAAGGCGGGGGCUCAACCCCCGGACUGCACUGGAAACUGUAAGUCUGGAGUGCAGGAGAGGUAAGUGGAAUUCGUGGUGUAGCGGUGAAAUGCGUAGAUAUUAGGAGGAACACCAGUGGCGAAGGCGGCUUACUGGACUGUAACUGACGUUGAGGCUCGAAAGCGUGGGGAGCAAACAGGAUUAGAUACCCGGGUAGUC
Molecule: ribosomal RNA, 440 nt
Filed under: uncultured bacterium
Lineage: Bacteria
Description: partial 16S ribosomal RNA
Rfam family: Bacterial small subunit ribosomal RNA
Source: RNAcentral